GGACCAAGGAGUCUAGCAUGUGCGCGAGUCAUUGGGACUCUGACUAAACCUAAAGGCGCAAUGAAAGUGAAGGUCCGCCUUGCGCGGGCCGAGGGAGGAUGGACGGUCCCGAGGGGCCGCCCCGCACUCCCGGGGCGUCUCGUUCUCGCAUUCGAGAAGAGGCGCACCCAGAGCGUACACGCUGGGACCCGAAAGAUGGUGAACUAUGCCUGGUCAGGACGAAGUCAGGGGAAACCCUGAUGGAGGUCCGUAGCGAUUCUGACGUGCAAAUCGAUCGUCGGAACUGGGUAUAGGGGCGAAAGACUAAUCGAACCAUCUAGUAGCUGGUUCCCUCCGAAGUUUCCCUCAGGAUAGCUGGCGCUCGCUUCUCGCGAGUCUCAUUCGGUAAAGCGAAUGAUUAGAGGCAUUGGGGUCGAAACGGCCUCAACCUAUUCUCAAACUUUAAAUGGGUGAGAUCUCCGGCUUGCUUGAACUGUGAAGCCGCGAGAUAUCGGAUCAGAGUGCCAAGUGGGCCACUUUUGGUAAGCAGAACUGGCGCUGUGGGAUGAACCAAACGCCGAGUUAAAGCGCCUAAAUCGACGCUUAUGGGAUACCAUGAAAGGCGUUGGUAACUUAAGACAGCAGGACGGUGGCCAUGGAAGUCGGA
This 646-nucleotide ribosomal RNA is filed under the name Idaecamenta sp. DA3751. RNAcentral describes it as "eukaryotic LSU rRNA". It matches the Rfam family "Eukaryotic large subunit ribosomal RNA", at positions 663 to 1265 of the family's 3401-position model. Lineage: Eukaryota; Metazoa; Arthropoda; Insecta; Coleoptera; Scarabaeidae. The record is from RNAcentral.